UACGUAGGGUGCAAGCGUUGUCCGGAAUUAUUGGGCGUAAAGGGCUCGUAGGCGGUCCAUCGCGUCGGGAGUGAAAAGCUGGGGCUCAACCCCAGUCCUGCUUUCGAUACGGGUGGACUAGAGGUAUGCAGGGGAGAACGGAAUUCCUGGUGUAGCGGUGGAAUGCGCAGAUAUCAGGAGGAACACCGGUGGCGAAGGCGGGUCUCUGGGCAGUAACUGACGCUGAGGAGCGAAAGCGUGGGGAGCGAACAGG
RNAcentral lists this ribosomal RNA (253 nucleotides) under uncultured bacterium. Its description in RNAcentral is "partial 16S ribosomal RNA". It matches the Rfam family "Bacterial small subunit ribosomal RNA", at positions 524 to 776 of the family's 1533-position model. The record is from RNAcentral.